GAGAUAUGAUGAGUGGUCUAAUCUCGCAUUAAAUUUGCGAGUUAGGUGUCUGCCCCCAAGCCUGGUUACGACAAUUGGGCACUCUCUUUGACCAAUUUGAUCUC
Molecule: small nucleolar RNA, 104 nt
Organism: Lathyrus oleraceus (garden pea)
Lineage: Eukaryota; Viridiplantae; Streptophyta; Magnoliopsida; Fabales; Fabaceae
Product: small nucleolar RNA Z279/snoR105/snoR108
Exons: 1
Source: RefSeq, a predicted model, not a curated record